CCCCUUACCUGGCGGAGGACAGACAGUGUUAGGAAAGGGGUUCUCCCUGGACUAGGCUAGUCCACCGCACUUCGGCUGCGCUGACCCCUGCGAUUUCCCCACACGCGGGGCCCUCGUCUGCAGU
Molecule: small nuclear RNA, 124 nt
Filed under: Mandrillus leucophaeus (drill)
Lineage: Eukaryota; Metazoa; Chordata; Mammalia; Primates; Cercopithecidae
Description: U1 spliceosomal RNA (ENSMLEG00000027665.1)
Rfam family: U1 spliceosomal RNA
About the family: U1 is a small nuclear RNA (snRNA) component of the spliceosome (involved in pre-mRNA splicing). Its 5' end forms complementary base pairs with the 5' splice junction, thus defining the 5' donor site of an intron.
Source: RNAcentral